UCCCUGGUGGUCUGGUGGUUAAGACUCUGAGCUCCCAAUACAGGGGAUUCAGGUUCGACCCCUGGUCAAAGAA
Ovis aries (sheep) is the source of this 73-nucleotide transfer RNA. It matches the Rfam family "tRNA". Rfam says of the family: Transfer RNA (tRNA) molecules are approximately 80 nucleotides in length. Their secondary structure includes four short double-helical elements and three loops (D, anti-codon, and T loops). Further hydrogen bonds mediate the characteristic L-shaped molecular structure. tRNAs have two regions of fundamental functional importance: the anti-codon, which is responsible for specific mRNA codon recognition, and the 3' end, to which the tRNAs corresponding amino acid is attached (by aminoacyl-tRNA synthetases). tRNAs cope with the degeneracy of the genetic code in two manners: having more than one tRNA (with a specific anti-codon) for a particular amino acid; and 'wobble' base-pairing, i.e. permitting non-standard base-pairing at the 3rd anti-codon position. The record is from Rfam. NCBI's taxonomy places the organism in Eukaryota, Metazoa, Chordata, Mammalia, Artiodactyla, Bovidae.